UGUGGCAGCACCAUCCCUCUCUCA
RNAcentral lists this unclassified non-coding RNA (24 nucleotides) under Mus musculus (house mouse). RNAcentral's name for it is "oocyte_clustered_small_RNA8590". The record is from RNAcentral. Lineage: Eukaryota; Metazoa; Chordata; Mammalia; Rodentia; Muridae.